RNAcentral lists this ribosomal RNA (588 nucleotides) under Pseudothecadinium campbellii. Its description in RNAcentral is "eukaryotic LSU rRNA". It matches the Rfam family "Eukaryotic large subunit ribosomal RNA", at positions 2050 to 2637 of the family's 3401-position model. Lineage: Eukaryota; Dinophyceae; Peridiniales. The record is from RNAcentral.
GAGAAUCUCUGGCCAAGGAACGCUUUUCAAGGCUCUCCCUGUGCGGUGAGAAGCUAACUCAGAACUGGAGCGGGCAAGGGGAAUCCGACUGUUUAAUUAAAACAAAGCAUUGUGAUUGCCUUAGAAGGUGCUGAUGCAAUGUGAUUUCUGCCCAGUGCUCUGAAUGUUAAAGUGAUGAAAUUCAAACAAGCGCGGGUAAACGGCGGGAGUCACUAUGACUCUCUUAAGGUAGCCAAAUGCCUCGUCAUCUAAUUAGUGACGCGCAUGAAUGGAUUAAUGAGAUUCCCACUGUCCCUAUCUACUAUCUAGCGAAACCACAGCCAAGGGAACGGGCUUGGAAUAGUCAGCGGGGAAAGAAGACCCUGUUGAGCUUGACUCUAAUCUGACUUUGUGAAGUGACUUAGGAGGCGUAGCAUAAGUGGGAGCUUGUGGCGAUCUUGAAAUACCACUACUCCUAAUGCCAUUUUACUUAUUCUGGUUGCACUGAAGCCUGCAUGGUUGUGGGGUUUUCGAUUUAAAUUUCCCCUGGUGGAAGACUGAUCUGUGCGGACGACAUAGUCAGGUGGGGAGUUUGGCUGGGGCGGCACA